UACAGAGACCUCAAGCGUUGUCCGGAUUUAUUGGGCGUAAAGAGCUCGUAGGCGGUUCGGCAAGUCGGAUGUGAAAUCUCCACGCUCAACGUGGAGGGGCCAUUCGAAACUGCCGUGACUCGAGUCCGGUAGGGGAGUGUGGAAUUCCCGGUGUAGCGGUGAAAUGCGCAGAUAUCGGGAGGAACACCAGUAGCGAAGGCGGCACUCUGGGCCGGUACUGACGCUGAGGAGCGAAAGCGUGGGGAGCGAACAGG
RNAcentral lists this ribosomal RNA (254 nucleotides) under uncultured bacterium. Its description in RNAcentral is "partial 16S ribosomal RNA". It matches the Rfam family "Bacterial small subunit ribosomal RNA", at positions 524 to 776 of the family's 1533-position model. The record is from RNAcentral.